RNAcentral lists this ribosomal RNA (500 nucleotides) under uncultured bacterium. RNAcentral's name for it is "partial 16S ribosomal RNA". It matches the Rfam family "Bacterial small subunit ribosomal RNA", at positions 30 to 523 of the family's 1533-position model. The record is from RNAcentral.
AUUGAACGCUGGCGGAAUGCUUUACACAUGCAAGUCGAACGGCAGCACGGACUUCGGUCUGGUGGCGAGUGGCGAACGGGUGAGUAAUGUAUCGGAACGUGCCCAGUCGUGGGGGAUAACGUAGUGAAAAUUACGCUAAUACCGCAUACGAUCUAUGGAUGAAAGCGGGGGAUCGCAAGACCACGCGCGAUUGGAGCGGCCGAUAUCAGAUUAGGUAGUUGGUGGGGUAAAGGACCACCAAGCCAACGAUCUGUAGCUGGUCUGAGAGGACGACCAGCCACACUGGAACUGAGACACGGUCCAGACUCCUACGGGAGGCAGCAGUGGGGAAUUUUGGACAAUGGGCGAAAGCCUGAUCCAGCCAUUCCGCGUGCAGGAUGAAGGCCCUCGGGUUGUAAACUGCUUUUGUACAGAACGAAAAGGUUUCUACUAAUACUAGGAGCUCAUGACGGUACUGUAAGAAUAAGCACCGGCUAACUACGUGCCAGCAGCCGCCGCAG